ACGCCAUUUUGGAUCCUGCUCCCUACUGGGCAAACGCCUGUCGUCUGUGUCGUGUGUCGUGGGUUCGAAUUGUGCGCGAACACGAUAUCAAGGAUUCCGAAUACAAUGACGGACGAUCGUCUUGGACACGCAGUGGUCGAUUCGCAAAGAGAUAUAUACGAAAUACAAUUCUUGCUUGCGAAACGGGACGUUGCCUGCUUCGUCGCGGCACAUCGAGACGGGAUAUAAAAUUUUCAAAUGGGAGUGAGUUUUUAUUAAUUAGGCAGGGCAAAGUAUGUAAUCGCACGUUCCCCGCGUUGUUCUUCUAUUCUGAAACGCAACGUGAUCCUCGUGAUCGGGAGUAUUGUACGAAGUAUCGCGAGACCUUGCGCUCUCGCCGUUAUUCGUGUGCAAGUAAUGUGCGGCAAAUUUGGCGCGGAGGAGUCACGAAGGACAAUAAAGCGAAAUUCGAGAGCAGAAGGCCCGGUGGGGCAUCAAGCGGCACAACUAUGGGUCGACUGGCGGGAAAUGGCUCUUUCGUCGCCCACGGAUUGCCGAGAUUAUUCGUGCGGAUUCACAGGAUGAUCGACAAGAACAGGGGAAAAUUCUUGAAAGUAGGAGCGUCCCUGACGCUAAUCUCGUGCUAGAUGGCAACAUUUUCUUGUAGCCAAAUAUACGAAGCGGCUCGCAUUGCCUUAUUGUUACAACGUUGCGAGUAUCUCGUUAUAGGGAAGAGGUAGCUCGAUGAACGAGGGUUAAACGCCAGCCAACAACUUAAUUGAUAGGAGCGGAAGGAUUAAUUUUAAAUCGGAUCCGCGCGCGCGACUUCGGAGAUCGGCCCCCGCGCGCACGAGAGGCCGAUUGUACAUAUUGUACAUAACGCCUAUAUAACGCCAGAACAUCCAGCGGCCAUGAUGGCUCUGGUCUCUCUCGCUUAUCGGCGAAGGGAGAGGGGGAGAUGUGUCGGGUCGAUACUUCGGAGUUGAGCGAGGAAGUCCGUAAGCGUUGCACCCCACCGGACGGCACUCGGAGGGAACGGGAGGAGGGUAAGAGCGGGAGGGAGGGGGGAACUCGUUCACCACUCCUUGCUCGCCGAUUGGUCCUGGCAGGACGGCACGUCAUUGGGCGGUGCGACGCGCCCGUCGGAUGAAAAGGGACGAGAGUUUAUCCUAAGGAUAUACCUGUCCCGCGUAUCCCGCAUACACUAUUAGGGCGGAGGAAGGGACGACGGGGAAAGGGAACGACGAGAUUAAGGGCAAGCAGAGCCCAUAAGCGGACAAAUCGGACCCUUUCGCCGCAACUUCGGUAUCAUUCGGUUCGCGCAUACAUACCUACGUGCGACCGACCUGUUUCACCGCCGUUGUUAAGCCCGAUGGACUGAGAUAAAUCGCCGGGCAUCGUUCAAUGUCCGCGGCGUCGUUAGACAAAGGUAUAACAAUCAAGGCGUUAUUAUAGUCUACUUCGCGAUGAGUUGUUCCGUAAGCGCGUUGGCCAAAAGCUUUUAGCACGAAAUCGAAAAUAUCUUCAGCGAUUAAAGAUAAUAAAUAUCAGCGAUGCUGAUUAUUAAUUUGAAUUAGAUAAAUUGAAAUUACAUAAAUUUUCAAACGAUUUAAUCUUGUUUCGCUAUAUGAAUUUCAAUAAUAUAUACAAUUUACAAUUUUUAUGAUCUCAUGGAUGGAUGAUAAAUAUUAAGUCGCUCAAUCAAUCAUGGAUUAAUCACGCCUGACUAUUUUUGAAAACGCUAUCUCGCUCUAGAAAAGCUACACGGCUUUCGUAUUAUUUAGUGCGGAAAAGAGAAUACCAUAUUGUCUCGGUACAGUAAUUCAGUAGCAAGUUCGGGCGACAAAGAGAGGGUUUUCUGUUUUACCAUCCCUUGCGCUUCGCUUCUCGUCGAUGAUUGGCGGUAGCGAAGGAAGGAUCGCGGAGGACGACGAGAGGGAUGAAAGGAGGCUAACUUGGUGGGGGAAAUUGCACGGCAGCAGAAUCCGUGACUCGGAUAAGGAGCACGAAGAAUCUUCCUUCCGCACCCCCUCUCGUCGACUCCUGCAACCCCUUUUUCCGCGAGCGCCACGUGAGUCGUGAAACGCUAUCAUCAAGCAUUCAUAACGUGUAGCAGCGUGUUUAUCAAAGGGACUCCUUUCAGCCUUCUCUCUUUCUCUUCGAAAAUACCGAGAAUCUCUUCCUUCCUGAAAGAAACUAUGCGCCUAACAAACACGUUAAAGAUCAAGAGUGCAUAUAAAAAAAUCUAAUUUUUCUUUUGUAUCUCUAUCUUCUAAUGUCAUUAUUUAUUGGGGAAAAACUUUAAAUUUAAAUUAAGACUAAAUUUGUCAUUUUUAAAUCAUAUCUUUUCCUCUUUCCUUUUUUUGCUUCUCUCUUUUCUCUUUUUCUUGAUUAUUGUUGAUCUCAUCAACACGAAGAUGCAAACAUAAUUAUCUUAUUUUUAAUGUCAUAAAUAAAUCAAUAGUAGCAUGUUAUCAUUUUCAAUAAAAGCUACACAUUUCUGCAUUUCACAGAUUCGUGAUUUCAUACUUGCAAUCGGUCUGUUAUAAUGUUAAUAAGUUUAAAAUCAGUAUAUCGUUACAAAUUAAUUUUGUACCUAUACAUUUACACAGUAGUAAUAAUUUAUUUCAAUUAAGUUAUAUAAAUAUAUAUGUAGACUUAUAUGCUAUUUAUGCUACAAUUUAUAUUUUCAGAGUACAAUACAAAAAUAACCACAAACAAAAUAAAGAAGAUAAAAAAAACAAGAUAAAUGUAAAAAGAAAAAUGCGAGAGAAAUGCUCUCGCAAACGAGAAAGAAAUAGAGUGAAAGAGAGACGUGAUGGUCAGCGUUACCAAGUAAUAGAUCGCAAGAGGAGAGAAAUCUGUGAUGAAACGAUGACGUGUGACAACAGAGGUAAUGAAGAUACCACAAAUAGAUUCGUGCAUGCGAGCGCACGAUCUCUCGCCGCUCGUACCGGCACGGUGCGCAAAUCCCGGUGAUAUGGAGGGUGGCAGUGAGGGAGGUGAUCUAAACGAGAUUAAUCGCGAGAGUAGUCGCUUUAUCCUGGCGAAUAACUUUCCGAAACCAGACAACGAUUACGGCUGUUUGGUGUUCGCGCGGGGUCCGGCCACGGUAUACAUUCGUGAAAGAGAGCAACGCACCAGCCACGGCACGUCCUGACAUAUGGGUUUCCAGGGCUUUGCUUGUCUGGGUCUGGCCGCGGUCCCGGGGUCUUUGUGCGGGGGUGGUAAAUGGGAUGUCAUCGUGUUAAAUGGCCCCUGAUCCCCGGCGACAGCCCCGGGCGCGGCCCAUUGAAAAGCACCCGGCCCGGGCGCCAAUUCUUGCGGCUAAUUCACGCCGUUUAUACGUUUAAUUGCCCUUGCCGAGCCACCUGGACCACCGUGCUCGCGUGCGCGCGCGCAAGAGAGAGAGAGAGAGAGAGAAAACAUUAGGAACGGGAUUCGAUUCGAGUUUCCGUUUAACGGACGCGCUUAGCGUCUCGGGCAUGUGCCGUUCACGACGACGCUCGUCCCUCUUCCUUUCCCCCCCUCUCCUCCUUUUCUCUGUGUGUAUAAUAUAUAUAUAUAUAUAUAUCUUUCUCUCUUGUCGAGGUUAUUGAUUUACGAGAGCACCUCUUUCCGGUUAGAUACGUGCACGUCAACGCGCUCGGAUGUAUCUAAACCUAAAGAUUACCGGACAGAGACCAUCCCCGAUGAUACAUGAAUCAACGCUCUUAGCUGUCGGUCACGAAGUAACAAGAUACUGACGGCGUCGCGAUGCCGGCAACGUCGAAACGGAUGUCGCAGUCUGAACGGUAGAGGUGUUAGCAGGGUACUUUUGUAAGAGAUUGUCUUUUUUUGGAGAUGGUUACAUUUAAUUGAGAAGCUCAUCGAGGCUCGUUGCCAUUCUUUUGUCCUUCCAAUUUAUCUGCUUGGAGACAUUAAUUUAUUUGCGUAACCCUCGUCGUAUUAUUUCAAAGAUGAUAAAAUGAGAGAAACGCGCGCGCCUGUCUGAAAUUAAUUCCCGUUACUAGUAGGAGGAAAGCGCGGUGUGCGCUUCUCGUCAACGUGUCGUCGUUAUUAACGUCCUGCUCGUUUUCUCGCUUGACGGGUCGUAAAUCGCGGUAUCGACGGCUCGCACGAAAGUGAGAAAAAAAAGAGUCACGACGCAACCGAGCGUCGACGGGGUAAAGGAGAGAAAUUGAUGAAGUGCUCUCUCUCUCUCUCGUGUAGGGUAUUCAGGAAAUAGACGAACUCUGCACGAUAUUCGGAGCACGAGCUAUAGCUAGAAGAACCUUUGUGAAAUGUCUCCUUUUGAAGAAGAAAACGACCGAUUAUUAGAAAAUUUAGGGAUAGAUACAUCGAUAAAUCUGAAGGCUGUGAUUUUAUUAGGAUCAAAAGACGUUUUAUUCUGUGUUUAUCGUGGAAGGAUCUGCGUGCAUAUUUUUGGGGGUAUAUUUCCGAUUUAGAAAAUCAUUUUAUUUCAAUUUUUGAGUCUUGCAAUCUUUUUUUUCAAACAUGACCUACAACUUUGGUUCUUUAAAAAUAUUGUUAUACAUAAAAGUAAAUUUUACAUAUAAGUAAAAAUAUUAUUCUCUAUAAAAGAUCUGUAUACGAGGUAUUGUUGUACGAGGAAUAAUUCAAGUAGAACAUUCUGACAAGAUCGACUUUUAAACAAGCACAUAAUAUAAAAGAAAAAAAAGAAAAUGUGAAGGAUAAGGCAUAAUUAUCUAAUAUAAUAUAAUUAAAAUAUCUGUUUGUAUAAUGCAGUGAAAUUAACAAGUAAUUUUAGAUUUAAAGAGUAAUUAUUAAUUUAUUGACAAAAGUACAAAGAUAUGUAAGACAUAGCAACGUUGAUUAAUCAGGCAUCGAAAACAAUAAAACAUAACUGAUAACAUUGAAAUGAGGUACGGAAUAAGCAAGUAAUUAACGAGA
Molecule: long non-coding RNA, 4893 nt
Organism: Monomorium pharaonis (pharaoh ant)
Lineage: Eukaryota; Metazoa; Arthropoda; Insecta; Hymenoptera; Formicidae
Exons: 4
Source: RefSeq, a predicted model, not a curated record